This 433-nucleotide ribosomal RNA is filed under the name uncultured bacterium. RNAcentral describes it as "bacterial SSU rRNA". It matches the Rfam family "Bacterial small subunit ribosomal RNA", at positions 29 to 507 of the family's 1533-position model. The record is from RNAcentral.
AGCGAACGCUGGCGGCAGGCCUAACACAUGCAAGUCGAACGGAUCCUUCGGGAUUAGUGGCGGACGGGUGAGUAACACGUGGGAACGUGCCUUUUGGUUCGGAACAACUCAGGGAAACUUGAGCUAAUACCGAAUGUGCCCUUCGGGGGAAAGAUUUAUCGCCAUUAGAGCGGCCCGCGUCUGAUUAGCUUGUUGGUGAGGUAAAGGCUCACCAAGGCUACGAUCAGUAGCUGGUCUGAGAGGAUGAUCAGCCACAUUGGGACUGAGACACGGCCCAAACUCCUACGGGAGGCAGCAGUGGGGAAUCUUGCGCAAUGGGCGAAAGCCUGACGCAGCCAUGCCGCGUGAAUGAUGAAGGUCUUAGGAUUGUAAAAUUCUUUCACCGGGGACGAUAAUGACGGUACCCGGAGAAGAAGCCCCGGCUAACUUCGUG